Molecule: unclassified non-coding RNA, 184 nt
Filed under: uncultured Inocybaceae
Lineage: Eukaryota; Fungi; Basidiomycota; Agaricomycetes; Agaricales
Description: sequence contains ITS2
Source: RNAcentral
AAAAGUUCUCAACCAUGCUGGUUCUUUCUGGUGUGGCUUGGAUUUGAGGGGAUUUUUUGCAGGCUUUUCAAGUCGGCUCCCUUGAAAAUGAUUAGCAGUAUCUGAGCAUACUUGAGGUGUGAUUAAGCGUCUAUGCCUUGGUGUAUGUGAGAUUGUUGCUUUAUCAGAUGGGUUGGAUUGGGUU